Non-coding RNA from Drosophila melanogaster (fruit fly), 1154 nucleotides. Lineage: Eukaryota; Metazoa; Arthropoda; Insecta; Diptera; Drosophilidae. The record is from Ensembl.
ACAUAUGCAUACACAUUUCGCAGGACUCUAAUCCUGGGUCCUGCGACCGUGUAUGCUGCUGCUUGUAUUGGUAUUGCUAUUAGUUUUUGGGCCCUCUCAAAUGACACUCAUGCGACGCCUGCCAUUUCCAGUGCCCUCGGCUCAGUUGGCGUUGGCCAGUGUCUCAUGGCACACCUCCAUGUAGUCCGGAUCGUGCAUGAUGCCCUUUAUCAUGUCCUUCAGCAUUGUGUAGCGUGGAAAUAUCGGAUACAUCUUUGAGCUGCCGUACUCUUCCUGCGUGUUCAAAUACGGAUUAGAAUAAAAUGUGAACUUUCCACCGGAUGCCACUCACCUUCAACACACGGAUGAGGUGUCGCAGUCCCAGAUACUUUUUCAGCAAGCGAUACAAGUCGUUUAUUAGCUGCGUAUUCUCGUGUUCGAUUUGCGCAGUUGUCAUAUCUACGAGUACAUUUAUCUUAAAUAGUUUUCUCUUUUCAUUGGACAGGAGGCUGACUUCACUUACGUUCCAAUCGCUCCAUCCGCUCCCGCCGCUCUGCCGCCUCCUCUGCCAGGCGGGCGGAGGUCUUGACUCCCUCGCCGGACUUCUGGGUCUUCUCCAUGAUCGAGCAGGCCCGCAUCACGUAAGAGGGCACCGUCUCCUGCUUCUCCUGCCGCGGGAUGUCCACCAGUGUCCAGUACUGGGUCUCCAGGCGGAUGACUUCCUGUGCUUGAGCAUGGGAUAGCGCUGAAAGAUGUUGCGCUGGCUCUUCGAGUCGCCGUACUUGUUCAUGAGGUUGAUCAGGGCUUUCUUGGCGGUCUCGUAGGACUCCUCCAGGCGAAGGCGCAAGGAUCGCAGGCGCUCGUUCGUCUCGAUCACCUCGUCCCGCGUCAUUCCACUGGGCGCCCCCUCGUCCUUCACAUCCUGCACGAUUCGGCGCACACUCUGCGUGAACUUGCCCACGAAGUUUGUGGUUGCUGAAUGGCGAAAAAAAUUGUAUAAAUUAAGUGAUAAAACAAAAUACGUAAAUAUAUAGUAGUUAAUUGUACGGAAAUUGCACGAAACACUGUCAUUCAUAAUCGGAAUUUCAGUAGACACGCGCAUUAACCCUUAAUUAAUCUGCGAUUCAUGCGGAAAUUGUUCGGCUAUGGAAAAGUCAAACUAUUAUGCCAUGAUG